GCACUUGUGGCUUACUGGUUAGAGCGUCUGCCUUGGAUGCUUGAGGUUGCGGGUUCGAACCCAGGCUAAGGCA
Molecule: non-coding RNA, 73 nt
Organism: Potamilus streckersoni
Lineage: Eukaryota; Metazoa; Mollusca; Bivalvia; Unionida; Unionidae
Source: the annotation of a GenBank genome assembly